RNAcentral lists this ribosomal RNA (253 nucleotides) under uncultured bacterium. Its description in RNAcentral is "partial 16S ribosomal RNA". It matches the Rfam family "Bacterial small subunit ribosomal RNA", at positions 524 to 776 of the family's 1533-position model. The record is from RNAcentral.
UACGUAGGUGGCAAGCGUUGUCCGGAAUCAUUGGGCGUAACGCGCGCGUAGGUGACCAUUUAAGUCCGCUGUGAAAGUCAGAGGCUCAACCUUUGAAAGCCGGUGGAUACUGGAUGGCUAGAGUACGGAAGAGGCGAGUGGAAUUCCUGGUGUAGCGGUGGAAUGCGCAGAUAUCAGGAGGAACACCAAUAGCGAAGGCAGCUCGCUGGGACGUUACUGACACUAAGGCGCGAAAGCGUGGGGAGCGAACAGG